Molecule: long non-coding RNA, 738 nt
Organism: Mytilus californianus (California mussel)
Lineage: Eukaryota; Metazoa; Mollusca; Bivalvia; Mytilida; Mytilidae
Exons: 3
Source: RefSeq, a predicted model, not a curated record
UCAGACAUCGAUCACUCUAUAUGUCUUCUAAUCUACAAUCAUAGUACAUUCAAUAGUUCAAAACAUCAAGAGAUUAUGGACUGGAGAGUUGCAUGGCCUUUUUGGAUUUUUAAUAAUGCAAACAGAUUUUUCAAAUGAUGGUACACGAAGUGACCCUGUAGUUUACAAACAAAUCGUAAAAAGGGAGUUGACAUAAUUUUGUGAAGUCUUAAAAAAAAACCCGAUUGUAUAUAGUUAAAUGAAGGAUGUAAAAAGGAAAACUAUGAAUAUAUUCAAAGAAACACAAGAUAUUAAACAAACUAAGCCAAAUGAAAAAUAGUAUGAAUAGUGCUACUUUGAAUAAUACAGUACAGGAUUGAAUGCUAUUCAUGAUUCAAAAUUAAUUGUGUCCGUUUUCUUUGUGACAUUUUGCCUGUGUUGCUUUACUAAGUUAUACUGGAUACAAUGCAGUGAUAAAAAAUAUGAGUUUCAAUAGACGUUUGGACAAUUUCCUUGUGUUGCUUUACUGAAUUAUACGGAAUACAAUACAGUUAUUCAAAACUAUGAAUGUCAAUUUACUUUCUGAGAUCUUCUUUCUUGUUGCCUUACUGCUGGGGAUGUAUGCAUGUAAAGUUUCCAGUCACUUUGUUGUCACAGCACCAAAACAAACUAAUCAUGGUCUAACAUGCUGGACAUGUCCAGAGAUGUACAGUAAUCAAGACUGCAAUGAUUGGGCCCCAGAUAUUCCCUGUUCGCAAA